Hevea brasiliensis (rubber tree) is the source of this 672-nucleotide long non-coding RNA. RefSeq lists it as uncharacterized. Lineage: Eukaryota; Viridiplantae; Streptophyta; Magnoliopsida; Malpighiales; Euphorbiaceae. The record is from RefSeq and is a predicted model, not a curated record. The transcript has 4 exons.
AUAUAAUUGGGAAUGGCAACAGAGCAUUCACUGUUUUGUAAUGACCCUAAAUGAUAAGCUUCAGUCAGUUUUGGCCCUCGUACACAAUUUUGGCAGCGUCGGAUCCAAUCGUCAUCUAUUUCCAGUGACGAGCCUAGUUGAAUUCCCUAAUUCAAACUGAAUCAAGAUUAGGGAUUUAACAUUUUAGAUCUCCUUCGAAGGUAAUAACAAGGGAAGAAUUUCGAUGACAAGAGCAUCAAAAUAUAUCAGUCUUCAAUUUGGAAAUUUAGCGAUAAGCAUCCAGGUUAUAAUGCAAGUGAUUCAGACUCACAUGAAUUGAAGGAUGGUUCUUGAUAAUGCGAAAUUGGUUUCAUGACCAAAACAAUUACGAUGUACUGAAGAUUUGGCCAGAGAACCCAGUAGACCAUAGACUAGGAGAUUAGAAGUUUUAAUCUUCAUUUGGGUCCCGAGUGUCACCUCCUCAGCAAUGCAUAUUUUGGUAGUGUCCACUAGCUUGUAUUUUAUUUUUGAUCAUUGCAUUUAAAUUUUGUAUAUAUAAUGUAAAUUAUGUAUUUUUGUACAUUAAAUGUGCACAUGAUGUAAAUUAAUACAGUUUCAAAUUUCAUAUUUGAAUUUUGUAUGUAUGAAAAUGAUUUGAAUUUCUUAUGUAUUUAUAUGAGUGAAACUUAUUGA